ACAAUGUCACAGUGGUUAUACAAGUGAGUCCUGUUCAGCGUGGGAGGAAAUAACACAAGAGGCAAAGAUCACUCGGGACCACCUUGUAUAUUGGCUACCACAGAACCCAACACAAGCAGUAAGUUAAAAUCAUGAAGCUCCUGACGUCAGAGGACAUGGCUCUGCCAUUUGUUAGGUAGGGAUCCUGUUAAAGGCUCAGCUUCCUCAUCUGGAAAUGGAAAUAUAGGCCUUGCCUGGUUUGCUGUAAUGGGUCGUGAUGAGGACCAAACUACAAAGAGUGGUACAGAUGUUAAUUACAAUGAUUUUUCCUAUGCCACCCAUGGAAACAAAAAUAGCAAGAUAGAGAAGGCUAAAUCCCAGUUUUUUUUGACUGCUAUUCAGCAAAGCCUAGGAGACUUUCAUGACACCUGGAGAGGCGGCCGUAGUGUAUGUGUAAGAGUACCGGUUCCAGAGUGGGGCUCCCCGAGCUCAGCCCCACCACUUACCAACAGCGGACCUUGGGCCAGAUGCUGAAGCCCUUUGUGCCUUGGUUUCCUGACCUAUUACUGUGGAAAUGAUGACAGUACCCUCCUCAUGGCAUCGUGAGAAUUAAAUUAGCUAAUUCAGGUGAAGCAUUUAGAAGAGGACCUCCUGACACUUAAUAACUGCUUGAUAUAAAUAAUAGCUUCUGCUACAGAGUGGCCAUGAAGUCUGGACAUGUAGAUAUUAUAUUAUCAUGCAUCAUAAGGUUGUGAGUGAGGAAUGGAUGCCAUUGUUAGUGGCUUCCGUUGUGCUCAGUGGAAACACGCAUCUACAGGUAGAAUGUAGAGGAACAGCCCAAUUCAGCUGUCUUGUGGAUUUCAGGCUGUGGUCUCUCUGCCUCUCUCUGGAACACAGGAGGAACUUUGCUACUGCCUUGACCAACAGAAUAUGGGGGAAGCGACAUUGUGUGAAUUACAAGGAAAUCAACAUUCAAGGGGAGACCCAAUGAAGAAGAUAGUGCCAGAACUUAAUGGAGGCAGCCCAAGAGGAACGUGUACCUGGGGAAGUCAAGAGCUAUUUCUUGGACAUUUGUGCCUCUAUUCCAAACUCUUCUCUCAGAGUAGAUGACAACUCAGGAAGGAGCCAGAGAUCUUCCUCAGUUGACUUGUUCAGAAAUAUGAUUUGGGAUUCAGUCUGGCCCGAAGCCAUGCUUCCAGCCUCAUCUCCACUGUGCACUUUCCAUGGCGUUCUGUCUUGGUCCACUUGGCUUGUGUAGCUGCCUGGCCUGGGUUGUCCUCCCCACCCUUGUCUGCUUGGUGGCACUUGGCCCUGUUCUAAUUGCUUCUGCUCGGGCAGCUUCUCUCCUCCCUCCUCUGUGCUCUGAGCACACUGGACAGAUUCCUGUUAGAGCUGUCACUGUCUUCCUGCUGUCUGCCCACUGACCUUGGAGCUCCAGGAGGACAGGAGCCUUAUCUUACCCCAUGACAUGGCCUAUGCCCAGCCUGGUGCCAACGUGGUCUGGAGGUAUCUGUAGGCUGAAUGAAAUUCUUCCCUCUGGGAUGCCCUUUAAAGUUGUUUUCUUUCUGGAACCUGGGGCAGUGACUGGAAUGGUUGGAAUGUGGCCUUGGUUUGCCAUUGGGUGUUUUGUUCCUCCGAGCAUUGGCUGGACUCUCUGGUGAUUUCUGGUCUUGAAGGACUUCCUGUUUUAAAUGUCUGUGGGGUUGUGGUUCCCGAGCUGCUGCACUGUCUCCCAUAACCUUUCUCUCUAUCCUGGCCUGGUCUCUCUUCCACACCAGAACUUUCCUCUAGAUCAAUGGUCCAGGACCAUCAGAACCAGUGAACCACACUCCUGACCAUUCUCCAAAUAGUCAUUUGGCCAAAUACGAGGUACGUGGCAGCUCUUUCUUUUCUGGACCCCACUUCACCUCUGAGCAGCUUCCUUCUCCCAGGAGCUGAAGCUCCCCCACGAUGUCUCAAUGCCAGGCAGAUGCGCUUGACCUUCUGCCUCUUGGGGCCCUCACCAAGCUAAGGGAUUUUAAAUCAUUCAACUAAUGUAUUACAGUGGGAAAGACACCCCACUAAGGGGCUCCACUAAAUAUCCUUUCCAGUUGAUAAGAUCAUUUUUUUUUAAUCCAGCUACAAACUCUUGAGUUUUAAACCCCAUGAGUUAUUUACCAUACGCUUGUAUCCCCUACAGUGAUUUUUAAAGUGCCAUGGCUGUUUCUCCACUGGCUGUGGAGUGAGCUGAUGUUACUGCAGGUUGAGGUUGAGCCACUUUGCUUCACCGACAGUUCCAGGAGUCCUUUUGGGCACUGACUGUGGGUCCAGUCCUGAGCUGAGUGCACAGAGGACGGGGGAGGUUGAGGGAGUCAACACAACUCCGAGGUGUCCUUGUUCUCCAGGGGCUCUAGGUUCUGACCUGCACCCAGCCACAAGCUGACUUGAGUCAAAAAGUCACAAAGUGUGACUUGGGGUUUCCUAUCCCAGGAUCUUGGCCAGAGCUUCAUUUGGAAGCCCCAGAGACCUGGACCAGACUUGCAGGUAGACAUUCACCAAUGCGUGAUUUGAGGGCUGCUCAAAGGGACCUCCCCACUUCCCACAUGGAGCACUCUCGGGAUUAGCCAUCACCGGAAACUCCUUUCCCGCAGGACAGAGCCCAGACAACUCAUUCUGUCUUCAAAAGCCACCACUGUCUGGCACCAACCCACUUUUCCAAACUCCACCUCCUGCGACUUCAGCCACAUGGAACAAGCAUGGACUGAUGUUCUCUAUACCUUUCCAACUCCAGCUCUUGGCUUCUGCUCUUUUCUCUGCCAAUGAGGCUGUGCUGUCUAUUACUGAGUAACAAUAUUACCAUAUACUUAGCACCUUUAAACAAUACACACUUAUUAUCUCAUAAUUUCUGUGGGUCAAGAAUUCAGGUGUGGCUUAGCUGGGUCCUCUGAAAGGCUGCAAUGAAGAUGUCAGCCAGGACUGUGGUCUCAAUCCAAGCUUCAGCUAGAGAAGGAUCUGCUUCCCAACUUCGCAUAUGUUGGUAAGAUUCAGGCUCUUGCAAGUGAUCGGACCAAGGCCCCCAGUUUGUUGUUGGCUGUUGGCUGGAGGCUGCCCUCAGUUUCUAGCUGGUUGUGGGCAGUUGCCUUGAGUUCCUUGCCACAUGAGCCUCCUCAACAUGAAUGCUUGCUUCUUCAAAGCUGGUGAGAGAGAGGCUCUUCUAAUAAGAUGGACUGUACAAGCUCACAUUAUGUAAUCACAGAAGCAACAGCUGUCACCUUUGUUAUACUUUAUUGCUUAGCAUCAAGUCACAAUUCCUGCUGAUACUCAAAAGGUAGGGAUUACAUCAGGGCGUGGGCACCAAGAGGUGGGGAUCAUGGGGCCACUUUAGCCUCUGUCUCCACCCAUCUCCUUCUCCCAACCUCCCUGUCCACUCUAGAAACAGCAACCUAGUAAAAUUCAUGAAAGCUUCCCUUAGUCACCUCAACCACAGGGCUUUGCUUACAUCGUUCUUUAGUACUUCAUUCAUUUAUUCAACAAAAUACAUAUUGAGCAUCUGCCGUAUGCCUGGAGCUAGAGGUAGUAUAGUAUAAUGGUUAAGGCUUCAAGUUCUGGAAUCAGAGUCUCUUGUUCCAAAUCCUGGGUCUCCACUUCAUGCUGGGUCUCAAUAAACUCAUCUCUAAAUAACACUAGGA
Homo sapiens (human) is the source of this 3647-nucleotide long non-coding RNA. Ensembl annotates it as long intergenic non-protein coding RNA 1968. NCBI's taxonomy places the organism in Eukaryota, Metazoa, Chordata, Mammalia, Primates, Hominidae. The record is from Ensembl.